Molecule: transfer-messenger RNA, 307 nt
Filed under: Vibrio cholerae
Lineage: Bacteria; Pseudomonadati; Pseudomonadota; Gammaproteobacteria; Vibrionales; Vibrionaceae
Rfam family: transfer-messenger RNA
About the family: Bacterial tmRNA, also known as 10Sa RNA or SsrA, is named for its dual tRNA and mRNA-like properties. Its role is to liberate the mRNA from a stalled ribosome.
Source: RNAcentral
GGGUGGUGAAUUUAAAGAUCGACUAAGCAUGUAGUACCAAUGAUGAAAGGUUUUCGGACGCGGGNACCCUGCUCAGAGCCCUUCCUCCCUAGCUUCCGCUUGUAAGACGGGGAAAUCAGGAAGGUCAAACCAAAUCAAGCUGGCGUGGAUUCCCCCACCUGAGGGAUGAAGCGCGAGAUCUAAUUCAGGUUAGCCAUUCGUUAGCGUGUCGGUUCGCAGGCGGUGGUGAAAUUAAAGAUCGACUAAGCAUGUAGUACCAAAGAUGAAUGGUUUUCGGACGGGGGUUCAACUCCCCCCAGCUCCACCA